This 712-nucleotide long non-coding RNA is filed under the name Homo sapiens (human). Its description in RNAcentral is "HSALNT0039186". The record is from RNAcentral. Lineage: Eukaryota; Metazoa; Chordata; Mammalia; Primates; Hominidae.
UGGGUGGGUGGUUGAGCACUGUGAUGGGGGGAAGUGGCUGACUGUGUGUCUCAUUGGCUGGCUGCUUCCUGAUGGGGCUGCAUCAAGUCUCCCAUUUCCACUUUGGCUAAGAGUUUGCUGAGGGCCACCAGUUUGCAACUUCUGCCUGAAAGGAAAGUAGAACUUGGCUGGAAGACAGAAUUAUGAAGAGACCAGAUAUAGAGUGAGAAAGAAAAAAAAAAGUACAUCCUUUGGGCUGAGCUAUUUCUAGCAUGAAAACAGGCCAACUUAUUUUUUAUUUAUUUUAUCUCCUAGCACCGGUUAGUAUGCUAAAGACAGCCACCAAGGAAGUGUAAAGUCCAAGAAGAAAUGUCCCAAGUAUCAACCACACAGACCAACACCUUCUCUUGGCCUUGGGAUUACAAAGAAAAGAGCACAGCCAAAUUGACAAGACAGUCAGGAAAUAGAUGGGCAAUGCUGUGUGAGGGGCACAGUGAUCGAAAUGUCAGCAUCUAAUAGAAGCUUGCAGGAAGAUGUUGUCAAGUUUAUCUUGUUCGGGCAUGGAGAUCUAAAGUGGAUUGUUACGAGAACAAUUUUUUUUUGUUAACGAAAAAAUUAAGCAAUUUUUUAUAUCAUGUGUACCACAUUUUUGAUGACAACGGUCUAUUAUUUAUACUGAUAACUAAGUAAAAGUCUAACUAUUCUGCUGGUUUCAUUGGCUGGUUUGGUUGUU